CCUACGGGGGGCCGCAGUGAGGAAUAUUGGUCAAUGGACGAGAGUCUGAACCAGCCAAGUAGCGUGAAGGAUGACUGCCCUAUGGGUUGUAAACUUCUUUCAUAUGGGAAUAAAAUGUUCCACGUGUGGGAUUUUGUAUGUACCAUAUGAAUAAGGAUCGGCUAACUCCGUGCCAGCAGCCGCGGUAAUACGGAGGAUCCGAGCGUUAUCCGGAUUUAUUGGGUUUAAAGGGAGCGUAGGUGGAUUGUUAAGUCAGUUGUGAAAGUUUGCGGCUCAACCGUAAAAUUGCAGUUGAAACUGGCAGUCUUGAGUACAGUAGAGGUGGGCGGAAUUCGUGGUGUAGCGGUGAAAUGCUUAGAUAUCACGAAGAACUCCGAUUGCGAAGGCAGUUCACUGGACUGCAACUGACACUGAGGCUCGAAAGUGUGGGUAUCAAACAGGAUUAGAUACCCUUGUAGUC
RNAcentral lists this ribosomal RNA (460 nucleotides) under uncultured bacterium. Its description in RNAcentral is "partial 16S ribosomal RNA". It matches the Rfam family "Bacterial small subunit ribosomal RNA", at positions 338 to 795 of the family's 1533-position model. The record is from RNAcentral.